CGGAGAUGAAAACACGGGCCGGUUGGUAGUCCGGCCGCGGCGCAGGGGAACUGUCCCGCCCUCCGCGCCGUCAGUAACCUUCCCUCCCAGGGUCGUCCGUUUUCCGUGAGUA
RNAcentral lists this non-coding RNA (112 nucleotides) under uncultured Intestinimonas sp. RNAcentral's name for it is "yjdF RNA". It matches the Rfam family "azaaromatic riboswitch aptamer (yjdF RNA)", at positions 6 to 91 of the family's 101-position model. Lineage: Bacteria; Bacillati; Bacillota; Clostridia; Eubacteriales. The record is from RNAcentral.